Long non-coding RNA from Oncorhynchus tshawytscha (Chinook salmon), 2116 nucleotides. Lineage: Eukaryota; Metazoa; Chordata; Actinopteri; Salmoniformes; Salmonidae. The record is from Ensembl.
CAAAAUGUCCCCCUAUUCCCUACCUAGUGGUCUAAAGUAGUGCGCUAUGUAGGGAAUAGGGUGUCCUAUGGGAUGCACCCAGACGGGACCACCUGUAUGUAAAAUGUGGAUAAAAGCGUUGUGUUUUAAAUAUGAUUAUGUGAUUAUAUAUUAGAGUAUUGAAGAUGCAGGUAACUGAAUAAAGGAAACACCAACAUCAAGUGUUUUUAACAGGACGUUGGACGACCAGGAGCCAGAACAGCUUCGAUGCUCCUUGGUUGGUCCGUUACAGGCCCCUCAGAACAGCUUCGAUGCUCCUUGGUCGGUCCGUUACAGGCCCCUCAGAACAGCUUCGGUGCUCCUUGGUUGGUCCGUUACAGGCCCCUCAGAACAGCUUCGGUGCUCCUUGGUUGGUCCGUUACAGGCCCCUCAGAACAGCUUCGGUGCUCCUUGGUUGGUCCGUUACAGGCCCCUCAGAACAGCUUCGGUGCUCCUUGGUUGGUCCGUUACAGGCCCCUCAGAACAGCUUCGGUGCUCCUUGGUAUAGAUUCUGCAAGUGUCUGGAUCGCUCCAGAAUCUCCCAUAAGUGUUCCGUUUGGGGGGGUUGAGAUCUGGUGGAUGGGGGGCGUAGCCAUGGUAACGCAGAUAAUGGCCCGCCCAGCAUGCCGACACAUGAUCCUCAGGAGAUAUGGGGCUGUUGAUAGCUUAAUAAUGGACUCAGGAACCACACCUGUGUGGAAGCACCUGCUUUCAAUAUACUCCGUAUCCCUCGUCAACUCCACGUGUUUCCGUUAUUCUGGCAGUUACCUGUUUCCGCUACGGGAAAGGUAAAUAAAUACGAAAGCUUCCGGAACAACGACUAACAUGUGACUAACCGUACGACGACCAUAUUUAGACAUUUAUAUAUCAACGCUGGUACUAUAAGAAGCUUCCGGAACAACGACUAACAUGUGACUAACCGUACGACGACCAUAUUUAGACAUUUAUAUAUCAACGCUGGUACUAUAAGAAGCUUCCGGAACAACGACUAUAAAACUAUAUUAUAUGUUGAUAUUGAUGAUCGUGUUUUAUAUGAAAGCUGAUACUAUAUUAUACGUUGGGGUUGGCAGGUAGCCUAGUGGUUAGAGCGUUGGACUAGCCGAAGUGGCCCCGAGCUGACAAGAGCUGAAACAUCUUGUUGUUCUGCCCCCUGAACAAAGCAGUUAACUCACUGUUCCCCCGGUAGGUCGUCACUGUAAAUAAGAAUUUGUUCUUAACUGACUUGCCCUAGUUAAUUAAACAUAUAUUUAACCAUUUUUAAGAUGAUGAAAGUAUUUUAUAUGAAAGGUUCUUUAAUCUGAUACAUUGAUGAAUAAGAGCUGGUAGGUAGCUGGGACUUGUUUCAGAAGACGAGAAAACUAUGGAACAACGAGCAAAUGUCUGAGGUCCACACAUUAUUACACCCAUGUUUUAAGGGAGAACAGACGUUGGUAUUGCACCCAUGUUUUAAGGGAGAACAGACGUUGGUAUUGCACCCAUGUUUUAAGGGAGAACAGACGUUGGUAUUGCACCCAUGUUUUAAGGGAGAACAGACGUUGGUAUUGCACCCAUGCUCCACCAAGGUUUUCCAGCUCACAGCUUUGACCCACUACAGUAUCUAUGUUGGUGUUUCUACUUCAAACUAUGUGUAGGCAGGUUGCUUAGGAUUCAAGAAGAUACAUUUCAAUCAACCAAUCAAAUCACAUGAAUAAAAUAAAUACACCAAUGAGACGCAGCGGUUGGUUCUUGUUGACGUGUUGUUUUAUAUUUCAUAUUCCAGCUUCAGCAUUUUACAAUAAAAUAUUAAAUGACAUGAAUUAUUUCACAUUAUAAGAGGAUUUACAGCCACUCUAAUGGAGGUCUCUCUAUUAUCUCUGUCCCUCUCUAUUAUCUCUGUCCCUCUGUCUCUCUCUCUCUCUCUGUCUAUUAUCUCUGUUUCUCUGUCUCUUUCUCUGUUUCUCUGUCUCUCUCUCUCUCUCUCUGUCUCUCUAUUCUCUCUGUUUCUCUCUGUCUGUCUCUCUGUUUCUGUCUCUCUCUCUGUCUCUCUCUCUCUCUCUCUCUAUUAUCUCUGUUUCUCUCUGUCUCUCUCUCUGUUUCUGUCUCUCUCUUUCUGUCUCUC